Molecule: ribosomal RNA, 250 nt
Filed under: uncultured bacterium
Lineage: Bacteria
Description: partial 16S ribosomal RNA
Rfam family: Bacterial small subunit ribosomal RNA
Source: RNAcentral
UACGUAGGGCGCAAGCGUUGUCCGGAAUUAUUGGGCGUAAAGAGCUCGUAGGCGGCUUGUCGCGUCGGUUGUGAAAGCCCGGGGCUUAACCCCGGGUCUGCAGUCGAUACGGGCAGGCUAGAGUUCGGUAGGGGAGAUCGGAAUUCCUGGUGUAGCGGUGAAAUGCGCAGAUAUCAGGAGGAACACCGGUGGCGAAGGCGGAUCUCUGGGCCGAUACUGACGCUGAGGAGCGAAAGCGUGGGGAGCGAAC